This 69-nucleotide small RNA is filed under the name Canis lupus dingo (dingo). RNAcentral's name for it is "XIST 3' intron conserved motif (ENSCAFG00020024522.1)". It matches the Rfam family "XIST 3' intron conserved motif". Lineage: Eukaryota; Metazoa; Chordata; Mammalia; Carnivora; Canidae. The record is from RNAcentral.
UUGACCUUUUCUAUUUUUAAAUCACUCAUAGAGGGUGGGAUUAGGAGGAAGAGUGAAAGAAAAGGUCAA